This 1536-nucleotide long non-coding RNA is filed under the name Takifugu rubripes (torafugu). Its description in RNAcentral is "lncRNA (ENSTRUG00000026926.1)". The record is from RNAcentral. Lineage: Eukaryota; Metazoa; Chordata; Actinopteri; Tetraodontiformes; Tetraodontidae.
AACAUGGGGUGCACUCUUUUUUCCUCCGUGAUAAUGGGCCAUUUUCAUACCAUUUGUGCUAAAAUAAAGGGAUAAAACAUGUUCUUCUCCUGGAGCCACCGUGCCACCGAUUACUUGUGUUAAGUAUUCUUUGAACGUUAGAGUAUAUAGCAGUUUUUUAUUAUAUAUAUGUCAUUGACAUCAUCUGUGUAAGUAUGCUUUCAGCAUAAAUUCCCCGCUUUAAGUGUAAAAUAUUGCUUUUUAAAAUUUAUUGUCAGAAGGUUUUAACCAGCAAAUUACUUUUUAUAAAAUUUAUUCACCCCUUCUCAACGGCUUGUAUGAAUCAAGAGCUUGUAAACACAGAAAUAUCGAUUGUUGCGCCGCUGCUGUCUUGGUGGAUGGCUAUGCUACGCUAGUGCGGCGAGGCUAAAACUGCUCGAUGGAGUUUGGGGGGGUGACUCAACUCCAUCGUAAUGGAGGGGUCAACAGAAAAACUCAUUCUCCAGCGCUGAUGGAGCUGCUUCUGUCUGACAAAGAAGAUGGAGUUAUAUUGUUCACCGUGGCGACGGGUCCCGACUGGUCAACAGAGCGUAUGGACUUUAUAUUGACCCAUUGCAGAACCUGAAAGCCUCGCAAAUCGCGGCGUGGAGCUUCCGCCAAAGCGCCGUUGUCCGGGUUGUGUCAUCAGCCUUAUCACAGCCGCCACACUGUUUUCCAUGAAAUUGAAAUGCUCUAUCGCUGCGUUUGUGUUCAGGCGUGGAGUGGCGUGUGGUGUCAUGUCACAUGUUCAACAUUUUCACACAGGAAUAUGGUAUAAGCUAUAAAGUCUUCAGAAGCAGGAUUUUGGACUUUUCUAACUGUUUAUCAGUCAAAUACUGGUCAGCUGAACCUCAGUGUUGCAGUGAUCAGAGCAGCCUAAUGGAUAAAGAACUCCUCAAAGCGUUCGCAGCAGUUUAAUGUCCGUAGGAUCGAAAGCUAGCGGCUUAGAAUGAAUUAGCAUUAUGAGAAAAUACAUGUUGCUCUGUAUUUUGCCUGCAACAGCAGGGGUGCAUCUGUGUUAGUCCUUCUUUUCUCUUAGACAACGUGACAGGUUAUAAUAGGGCGGCAUUCAUUUUGCCAAUUAUUUCAAAUUAGCCUUUGUACCUGAUAACCUUCGCUAGUCCCGACUGCGCAGUUAGAUAGGUGAAAUAUUUACCCAAAGCAGGAUUUAGACGGGGACGUGUUUUCUAUAAGGACGGGGUUUGUUUUCUCCUAUUUGCUCCUGUGGGGGAUUAAUGCUGUCAGUCACUUUGACUGGCACCUCUCAAAUCACACCCUCGCAGCAAAGUAGCUGAUUUUGUCAGGCGGAGAACGGCGUUAUCGGCACAACCUUGUUUGGAGACUCACAAAACCGCUAAACCCGCAAUUCAUGGGAGAUCUGUUUACAAUCUGCACCGGCCAUUGACUGCUAAACAGCCCGCACAGAUCCAUCCCGGGCCACUCCGAGGAGGAGAGGAGCAGAGCAAUUACAUCCUCAAACAGCAAUCUGAGGCUAGCCCGGCAUGCAAACAGACGUCA